GGCUUGUAGCUCAGGUGGUUAGAGCGCACCCCUGAUAAGGGUGAGGUCGGUGGUUCAAGUCCACUCAGGCCUACCAAAUUUGCACGGCAAAUUUGAAGAGGUUUUAACUACAUGUUAUGGGGCUAUAGCUCAGCUGGGAGAGCGCCUGCUUUGCACGCAGGAGGUCUGCGGUUCGAUCCCGCAUAGCUCCACCAUCUCUGUAGUGGUUAAAUAAAAAAUACUUCAGAGUGUACCUGCAUCGGUUCACUGCGAAGUUUUGCUCUUUAAAAAUCUGGAUCAAGCUGAAAAUUGAAACACUGAACAAUGAAAGUUGCCCGUGAGUCUCUCAAACGCAACACGAUGAUGG
RNAcentral lists this unclassified non-coding RNA (346 nucleotides) under Escherichia coli. RNAcentral describes it as "partial 16S-23S ribosomal RNA intergenic spacer". The stretch from base 262 to 346 matches the Rfam family "Salmonella enterica Typhi npcRNA 44", at positions 1 to 89 of the family's 107-position model. The record is from RNAcentral. Lineage: Bacteria; Pseudomonadati; Pseudomonadota; Gammaproteobacteria; Enterobacterales; Enterobacteriaceae.